RNAcentral lists this long non-coding RNA (598 nucleotides) under Hordeum vulgare. RNAcentral's name for it is "long non-coding RNA (HVUL_LNC012894)". The record is from RNAcentral. Lineage: Eukaryota; Viridiplantae; Streptophyta; Magnoliopsida; Poales; Poaceae.
UGAAUUCUUUUUGCCUCGGCAUGUCGGUGCAUACCGAAUACCGAACCGAAUUCAUCGGUUAACCGAAAUAUCGGUUAUCUGUUUUGUUAUGCCAUUUUCGGUUUUUAGUUUUUUAAACCGAAUUUUGAAAUAAACUGAUUGAGAAAAACCGAAUUUUCGGUUUUUACCGAAUGCCCGGGCCUAAUAUGUCAUGCUGAAUUGAGGGCCCAUUUUGUAAAAAAACUCCACCUCCGAAGGAGAAGCUAGAUUCGGUGAAAGUGGAGCACACCAUCAAUCAACUGCAGCGACCACCAGGGAUUCCAACUAUGACCGCAUUCUGAAAAAUACAUAUGCAUAAGCGGUGCGGUCGGGAACUACUUCUAGCGAUGCAAGGUUAGCAGAACGAAGAAGUGAGAAAACAAUUCCGGGGCUCGAUAUCGUUGUUGCUAACCAUCCAGAGAUGGUGCCCGGUACCAAUCCUGGUGAUUACUUGGGGGAUGAUGUAACAAAAUAACAAUAUAAAUACGUGCACGGGAAGCCUCUCGUCAAACAUGGUCAUCCUCCUCUAACAAUGAUGAUGCACAGAUUGCAUGAGUUGUACAUGAAAACCUGAAGGGAG